GAUGAACGCUGGCGGCGUGCUUAACACAUGCAAGUCGAACGAUGAAGCCCAGCUUGCUGGGUGGAUUAGUGGCGAACGGGUGAGUAACACGUGAGUAACCUGCCCUUAACUCUGGGAUAAGCCUGGGAAACUGGGUCUAAUACCGGAUAGGAGCGUCCACCGCAUGGUGGGUGUUGGAAAGAUUUAUCGGUUUUGGAUGGACUCGCGGCCUAUCAGCUUGUUGGUGAGGUAAUGGCUCACCAAGGCGACGACGGGUAGCCGGCCUGAGAGGGUGACCGGCCACACUGGGACUGAGACACGGCCCAGAGUCCUACGGGAGGCAGCAGUGGGGAAUAUUGCACAAUGGGCGCAAGCCUGAUGCAGCGACGCCGCGUGAGGGAUGACGGCCUUCGGGUUGUAAACCUCUUUCAGUAGGGAAGAAGCGAAAGUGACGGUACCUGCAGAAGAAGCACCGGCUAACUACGUG
This 466-nucleotide ribosomal RNA is filed under the name uncultured bacterium. RNAcentral's name for it is "partial 16S ribosomal RNA". It matches the Rfam family "Bacterial small subunit ribosomal RNA", at positions 28 to 507 of the family's 1533-position model. The record is from RNAcentral.